UUGCUACUGAUCUUAGCGGCGGACGGGUGAGUAAUGCUUAGGAAUCUGCCUAUUAGUGGGGGACAACAUUUCGAAAGGAAUGCUAAUACCGCAUACGUCCUACGGGAGAAAGCAGGGGAUCUUCGGACCUUGCGCUAAUAGAUGAGCCUAAGUCGGAUUAGCUAGUUGGUGGGGUAAAGGCCUACCAAGGCGACGAUCUGUAGCGGGUCUGAGAGGAUGAUCCGCCACACUGGGACUGAGACACGGCCCAGACUCCUACGGGAGGCAGCAGUGGGGAAUAUUGGACAAUGGGCGCAAGCCUGAUCCAGCCAUGCCGCGUGUGUGAAGAAGGCCUUAUGGUUGUAAAGCACUUUAAGCGAGGAGGAGGCUACUUUAGUUAAUACCUAGAGAUAGUGGACGUUACUCGCAGAAUAAACACCGGCUAACUCUGUGGCAACAGCCGCGGUAAUACAGAGGGUGCAAGCGUUAAUCCGAUUUACUGGGGGUAAAA
This 490-nucleotide ribosomal RNA is filed under the name Acinetobacter sp. BC5. Its description in RNAcentral is "bacterial SSU rRNA". It matches the Rfam family "Bacterial small subunit ribosomal RNA", at positions 80 to 565 of the family's 1533-position model. Lineage: Bacteria; Pseudomonadati; Pseudomonadota; Gammaproteobacteria; Moraxellales; Moraxellaceae. The record is from RNAcentral.